This is a long non-coding RNA of Triticum aestivum (bread wheat), 3375 nucleotides long. RefSeq lists it as uncharacterized. The record is from RefSeq and is a predicted model, not a curated record. The transcript has 5 exons. NCBI's taxonomy places the organism in Eukaryota, Viridiplantae, Streptophyta, Magnoliopsida, Poales, Poaceae.
CCCGAGCUGGACGGAUCGACCGACCGACCGACCGAACCAGCUCCCCCGUGUCGUCCUCUGUUUCGUCUCCAGCGGAGCGGCGGUGCAGCCACUCCGGCGUGGCACGGCGACUCCAGCGGCUCCGGAGGCGCGGAGACCCCAGCCACCAGGAAGCAACCGCAGGCGGCUCGGCUACUCCGGCACUACGGGCGCCGCUAUUCCCCCAGCACCACGGGCCCGGCGGCGAAUCUGGCGAGCACGGGUGCCGCACCUCCGGCGACUAGAAUGUGGAAGAGAAAAGUUCAUCCUGAAGCAGUCAGCGACAAAUAUUUAGUGGAAUGCCCAACGAAUGGAGGGAUAUGAAGGUUACUUCUCUGUUCUUUAAUGUUCAGAGUCAACAAGAAACUUACUGAAUUUUGUAUGUCAUAUGAUUUUCCUGAUGUCUGCUUCAAGCAAGUAUGUUUGGACAGGUGAAAGACUGGCGUUCCUUCAUGUGGCUGGACAAGUAGUUGGGCAUGGUCGACGAAAUUUGGAUGAUAAAUGUGCUCAUCAUGGGCAAUGCGGCUGCUCGUAGCUUUCACGAGAAAUGCAGCGACGCAUAUAUGCUACAAGCGCUGAAAUUGAUGCUACAAUAGCUCAACUUGAUGCUAUUAGGAUUGAGACUGCAGCACUGGAUCGACGUAUCGAGAAGUUGGCCGCCCAAAAUGCAAAGCUUCAGGUUUUAGUGUACUUUCUUUUCGUCAUUCUUCUUCUAGUGUUGCUAGCGAAGUGGAAUAUCCGCGCAAUUGACCGUGGUCGCCAUCCUGUAUGAGACGGUGCUCGGUCUGUCAAAUGGGACGAACAUGUCGGGCUGGUUGGUUCUGUUGAGAUAUGUAGAGUUUGGAGAAAUUGCAAAUUUACCAAGGGGCAAGACCUUCAUUUCACGUGGUAUUAGUAGGCUCAGAAUUUUGAAAUUAUUCAAGUAAUUAGACAGGGCGAAUGACCAAGAAGGCAAAGAAAAUGAGGGCAUAUAAUCCCCUGCAAAAAUAAAAUAAAAUAAGGGUACAUGAUCGAAUCUCCCUGAAGACUUCCGUGUCCUUAUCCCAGAUGGCUUUGGGAAAAGAUAAAUGUAGUGGCAAAAUAAGAAACAAACUGACUGGUUGCAUACUCUCAACAACAACAAAAUGAAUAAACUGUUACUUCGGCAAAUAUUAACAAGCUAACUGUCAAAUCGAAAUGUCGCUUCAUUUAUCAACAAAAUGUAUUGUUACAGGACUCUUCUAAGUUCAAACAUAUAGAUCUGUUCAGUGAGGACCCAUAGUUUCCUAUUUAUUCAAAUGCAUGCUCCAAUGCCAUUUAAGUAGUUGUGUUGUCUUAUCGUUUGAGUUUUUUCUUUUCCAGAUUCUCGCUGAUCCCAUUCAUUUGAAAAGCCGAACGAUGAGAGUGCUCUAAAAUUGAUGAAUGCUUCUGCUUCUCUUAUGAUGGAGUGAUUCCCUGAUAUCAUCUUUGGCUAUGGUUUUAGCAACUGGUGCAGUUAGGAUAUACCCCGUCAGAAUCACUGUUUUUGCAAGGAGAGAACAUGUGUUUCCGCAUGGCGCAAAUUUUCCUCUUCUCAUCAGCAGAAGUGAUUUGAUUGAAUUUAUUGGAAUGAUAAGAUAUCUUGUUAAAACCGUAAUAAAUUAACCAUCCAAUGAAGCUGUAAAUGUGAACCUGGGACACUUAAGUUAAGUGGGUGUUUUUAUGUUUGCUGGAUGGCUAACCUAUGCAUUUGUUGCAGAUGAUCAUAUUUAUUUUUUGUUAUUGUUGCAGCUUUGUGUUCCAGGAGAACACUGAAUUUUAUCAGAGAGAUGAGUGAUUAAUCCUUUCUUCAUGGUCACCAUGUCUCACUUCUUUUUACAUGAUGAAGUGGAAAGAAUAUUUCCCAAAUAAAGAAUUAGUGCAGCCACCACAGUUUGAAGCAGAGGUUCUAUGUUACCCAAAGCCAGAGAUUGUUUGUGAUUAUUUGUCAUGGAGACAAGCAGAAUAAACCAGUUCAAACUUGCUUUUGGAUGCUAGUGAAGUCCGGAAAAGGCGAAUAUGGAGCUCAUGAGGGAAUAUUAUCAACGGACAAGAACGAUUUGCUCUUUCAGCGGUUUCGGAUGAACUACAACAACGACCCGGAGAUGUUCCAGAAGGGUUCGUGUACUUGCCAGCGAAAGGUAUUCUGUUCAUCAUCCGAGAGAUGUUUUUCAACAGCAAUGAGAAGUACUGCUAUGAUGAGAAGAAGAUGAUUCUCGUAGCUUGCACCAGUUUCUCCGCUAAUGGCCUACAGUGCAGGUGGUCCAAACCACAACCUUGAACUUGCUUAAUCGUUUUGAUCUCGGUUCUCUUUUCUUCUUUCUCCUACCCUCUCUCUGCCAGCCAUGAUUCUCUCCAGCCCAUGCCCUGGUUAAGAGGCAACUUGCUGCCGCUGGUGCUCAUACAUCCGCCUGCCGUGAGCGGCGGCACUUCCUCACCUCUCCCACUCAUCCUCCCACACCCUGCCACCACUGCUCCUGCGUUUGGUGACGUCGGCCCGCUGCUGCUCGCCGCUCACGGUUGUGCUUUCCCAGCUCUCUUGCUCGUCUGGACUCCCCAUGACGUGACCUGUUCUUCCCACCGGCUCCGAGCUCCAGGUAUUUCAUCCUUCAACCGGCUACAUCUUCUGUGUUGGAUGUCAUGUGGAGUUGUUUUGAAGAAACUGGACUAAAAGUAUAGGGGGCCAAUGGGGACCUCUCUCUUCCAACAAGAAUGAGAAGAAGAUGUUUGCAGGGGUGGAAGACGGCGGAGAUGUGAUUUCGCCGGAGAGCGACGGGAGGUAGGGCCAGAUAGUGAUAGUUUUGGAGAAUGAUAUCUUUAACCGGAACCGGAAAUGAUAUGUUUCUUUUAAGAGGGGAAAGAAAUGAUGUGUUUCGAAACGACACGGUUGGUAAAAAGGACGUCGUGCGUUCGAUCUCUCGACCGGCUUCCCGUACGUACGUAAAUAGUGACUUUUUAUUUCACGCGCGCCUCGGUUGGGCCUCGUACGCGCGCCUGCCCAUGCGGGCGAGACCGCACGGUUCGCAGGUUCGAUUUGUCCCACAUCGCCCGUCGUGGGACGGGACCUUCAGUUUAUAUACUGCGUUGAUUAUCAUGGUAUCACCUCCACGGGGACAACAGACUGAGAAAACAAAAAGAAAUAAAAGAGGCCUCAGAGCCCACAAAAGAAGAGAAAAGAGGCCUUAGAGAGCCCAAGAAAAAAAAAGGAAAGAGGCGGAAGAAAAAGAGGAGCCCAAGGAAAAAAAAGAAAAGAGGCCUUAGUGCCCAAGAGGCCAGAGCCGAAAAAUCCUCAAGGCCCGCGUGCCCACACAAAAAGAGAACAAAACAGUGUACCCAUGGAAGGUGUUGUGCUAGCUUUUU